GACAGAGGGUGCAAACGUUGUUCGGAAUUACUGGGCGUAAAGCGCGUGUAGGCGGCCCUGCAAGUCGGAUGUGAAAUCCCACGGCUCAACCGUGGAAGUGCAUUCGAAACUGCAGGGCUAGAGUCCUGGAGAGGAAGGUGGAAUGCUUGGUGUAGAGGUGAAAUUCGUAGAUAUCAAGCGGAACACCGGUGGCGAAGGCGGCCUUCUGGACAGUGACUGACGCUGAUGCGCGACAGCGUGGGGAGCAAACAGGG
Molecule: ribosomal RNA, 254 nt
Filed under: uncultured bacterium
Lineage: Bacteria
Description: partial 16S ribosomal RNA
Rfam family: Bacterial small subunit ribosomal RNA
Source: RNAcentral